AAAAAUGAAGCAAACAUAUUGCAGUCAGUUUCGACCUGAACAUUUGGUUAUUUCCCCAUUUUUA
RNAcentral lists this transfer RNA (64 nucleotides) under Alectorobius rioplatensis. Its description in RNAcentral is "tRNA-Arg". The record is from RNAcentral. Lineage: Eukaryota; Metazoa; Arthropoda; Arachnida; Ixodida; Argasidae.